This 468-nucleotide ribosomal RNA is filed under the name uncultured bacterium. RNAcentral describes it as "partial 16S ribosomal RNA". It matches the Rfam family "Bacterial small subunit ribosomal RNA", at positions 28 to 507 of the family's 1533-position model. The record is from RNAcentral.
GACGAACGCUGGCGGCGUGCUUAACACAUGCAAGUCGAACGGAAAGGCCCUGCUUUUGUGGGGUGCUCGAGUUGCGAACGGGUGAGUAACACGUGAGUACCCUGCCAUUGACUUUGGGAUAACUUCAGGAAGCUGGGUCUAAUACCGGAUAGGAGCUACCGCUGCUUGGUGGGGGCUGGUUAGUUUCGGCGGUUGGGGAUGGACUAGCGUCUUAUCAGCUUGUUGGUGGGGUAGUGGAUUACCAUGGCUUUGACGGGUAGCCGGCCUGAGAGGGUGACAGGCCACAUUGGGACGGAGAUACGGCCCAGACUCCUACGGGAGGCAGAAGUGGGGAAUAUUGCACAAGGGGCGGAAGCCUGAUGCAGCAACGCCGCGUGCGGGAUGACGUCCUUCGGGUAGUAAACCGCAGUCGCCUGUGACGAAGCGUGAGUGACGGUAAUGGGUAAAGAAGCACCGGCUAACUACGUG